This 327-nucleotide long non-coding RNA is filed under the name Penaeus japonicus. RNAcentral describes it as "uncharacterized LOC122267104". The record is from RNAcentral. Lineage: Eukaryota; Metazoa; Arthropoda; Malacostraca; Decapoda; Penaeidae.
CGUGAACGAUAUUUCAAAUUACGCGCGAGAGAGAUCUUGUAUUGUAGAUGGCGUUGCGGUUGUGGCUCGUGUUUUGGUUGUGUUGGACGGAGGAAGUCACGUGGACGGAACUGUACAUUUUGUUUUGAACCUUUGUGAUCCCUGAACAUUGAUACGGAUUUAUGAUUUACUUGAAUUAGUGUUUAGUGUCUCAGAAACAAAGUGACUUCCUUCUGUAGGGCAUUGAGUAUUGGAUUAAUGCUGCUGGACCGGAAGAAAUUUGCACAGGAGAUUGUGGAAAGGGCAAAGGCGAAAGAAGUUGAAUAUUAAUAAAGACAACGCUUUCAA